GACGAACGCUGGCGGCGUGCUUAACACAUGCAAGUCGAACGAAGAGCGAUGGAAGCUUGCUUCUAUCAAUCUUAGUGGCGAACGGGUGAGUAACGCGUAAUCAACCUGCCCUUCAGAGGGGGACAACAGUUGGAAACGACUGCUAAUACCGCAUACGAUCUAAUCUCGGCAUCGAGGAUAGAUGAAAGGUGGCCUCUACAUGUAAGCUAUCACUGAAGGAGGGGAUUGCGUCUGAUUAGCUAGUUGGAGGGGUAACGGCCCACCAAGGCGAUGAUCAGUAGCCGGUCUGAGAGGAUGAACGGCCACAUUGGGACUGAGACACGGCCCAGACUCCUACGGGAGGCAGCAGUGGGGAAUCUUCCGCAAUGGACGAAAGUCUGACGGAGCAACGCCGCGUGAGCGAUGACGGCCUUCGGGUUGUAAAGCUCUGGUAAUCGGGACGAAAGGCCUUCUUGCGAAUAGUGAGAAGGAUUGACGGUACCGGAAUAGAAAGCCACGGCUAACUACGUG
This 510-nucleotide ribosomal RNA is filed under the name uncultured bacterium. RNAcentral's name for it is "partial 16S ribosomal RNA". It matches the Rfam family "Bacterial small subunit ribosomal RNA", at positions 28 to 507 of the family's 1533-position model. The record is from RNAcentral.